UAAAAACUCGUAUUCAGUUUUAUACUUAACAAAGUACACUUUUCGCAUGGACGAAAGUUCAUUUUCCCACUAUAUUGUUAGUUUGAAAAUAAUUAUUUUAAUAAAAAUAUCAAAUUCUUACCAAAGUCAAGGUUUUAUCACUAUAGUUGGUCGGUAACUCAGAAGUCGGGUUUUUACCACACAUAUUUUUCAUUUCGUUGACAAUUUCAUCGACCCGGGACUUCCUGCUUUCUAAAGAAAAUCUGAGCUUCUCCUUGUAAAUUAUCAAAUGCUUUAUUCCGUUUUUGGACAAAUCAUCAGCGGGCAUGCUAAGUUUUAUAGACAAAGAAUCCUGCAGUUUUUUUAAUUCCUCUUUAAUUUCAAUGUUUUUUUCUUUCCUAAGUCUGUAUAUCUGAUGAAGUUCAUUUAAUUUUGCUGACAACUGCUCAAGCUUUAUAUCCGAUAUGUCCUCAAAAUCACCGUUCACAAAAUUCACCUCAUCAACUGAUUCACCAAGGAUUACAGAUAACCUUUCAAUUUCUUUGUACAUAUUUUUUGCUUCAUUUUUCUUCGUGUUAUAGAUUGCUCGAAUACCAUUAUGGUAAGUUACCAGGCAUUCAUAUUGGUCAAUUAGAGUGCGCGGUAUUUCGAUUUCUUCGAUGAUGCCCAGUCUUUUUCUUAAAAGAGAUAUCUCAGAAGAUAAUUCAUUGCAUUUUGACUCAAUAUUUAUAAUUUUGAUCUCCAAUUUUCUUUGGUGUCCUGACAAAGCGUCCAAGAUGAUAUUGUUAAAACUGAUCUUUGUAAACGAAUACCCAAGUUUUUCGGAAAGUGUAUAAAUAUUAUUGUAAUAAUUGUUAAGCCUGUCUCCAAUUUUAGCUAACUCCAUAAUAUCUUAUGAUUUUAACAUUAAAAACAGAAGUUCGGCAUCAUGGCCUUGGAGAACUUGGUUUAUUUACCUCUAAACUUAAGGAUCGAAAGUGAGUCACAACACAUUAUGGAUUGGGACAAGUUCAUACUAGCAAGAUUGUUUAAUAAAGAAGUCAUGUCUUUUUAAAAAAAAAAUCUACAUCGAACAG
Molecule: non-coding RNA, 1055 nt
Organism: Schizosaccharomyces pombe (fission yeast)
Lineage: Eukaryota; Fungi; Ascomycota; Schizosaccharomycetes; Schizosaccharomycetales; Schizosaccharomycetaceae
Source: the annotation of a GenBank genome assembly